UUCACAGUGGCUAAGUUCCGU
This 21-nucleotide non-coding RNA is filed under the name Mus musculus (house mouse). Lineage: Eukaryota; Metazoa; Chordata; Mammalia; Rodentia; Muridae. RNAcentral also lists the same sequence under 2 other names. The record is from RNAcentral.